This is a long non-coding RNA of Myotis lucifugus (little brown bat), 2016 nucleotides long. RefSeq lists it as uncharacterized. The record is from RefSeq and is a predicted model, not a curated record. NCBI's taxonomy places the organism in Eukaryota, Metazoa, Chordata, Mammalia, Chiroptera, Vespertilionidae. The transcript has 2 exons.
CUCGUCCACCGCCGGCUUCAUCUCCCCCAAGGCGUUCCGGGUGUCCCUGGCCCACUUCCGGCCAUCUGCCCGCCUCUUCCGGUACGCAUCCUGCCGCGGCACGUCUAGACGCCGUAGGAUCGCCGACUCUAUGGAGAAAAGAAACCGGAGGCAGAUGCAAUACCUCCCUCAUCCUGCACAGGCUUGGCCCCUGCAAAGAAGGAGGAGAGCGGUCAGCCAGGAGAGCCUCAGAGCAGGGCCCUGCCGAGCACCAGCUGCCCCGAGGGGCACGAAGAGGAACAAAGCAGCCACUCACCCACCAGAGGCACCAGCAAGAGGCAGAGGGCCACCCCGGGCAGCAGGCAGGUCUUCAUCUUCCCCAGGCACAUCCCCCCGCGACCGAAGGACUGGGUCAGGUCCACCUGCAGCAGGAGGAACCAGAAAGGUGGGGCCACCCACCCCCGGGGGCCCCAGCUCUUCCCGCCACCCCCAAAGUGGCAGCUCCUGGAAGAAGCUCCAGUGGAAAGACAAGUUCCCAGUGUUUUCACAGCAAUUUCAGUUUCCGUGGCUUCCAGCCAUUAUUCUGAGGCUAACCCAUGUUUCAUUGGCCUUAAUUUUAACAAUUUAAGAAACUGCACCCUUCCCUCCCCCCCAAUCAACUGCCUGUCCGAGGUUACCUGGCCGCUCCUGUGCCUCAGCCUCAGUCCACAGCCCGAUGGGCGUCAGCCACCAGCACACAGGCUCCUCUUUAUAAAAGGCCGGACAAGGACGGAGACGUCACCUACGGGAACCGUCAAACUGAGUGUAUUUCAUCUCCUGCCAGAGACUGAGGGCGCCGGUGGCCCUGCUGGCAGUGGAAUCCCACGGGGGCACUUUUGCAAUCUCAUCCAAAGAUGAAAUUGGGAGAAAAACAUGCUUGGACAGGCCCCUUUGGAGGGUUUUAGAAUGAAUUCAACACUGGCACUCCCUCUGCGCCAAGAGAGAAAGAUGUUCUGAGUUUGACAUUGGGGCUGACAUCCCCCCCUCACAGGAGCAGGGUAAUCACAGAGCUGCCCUGGAGACCGGGAGGCAGGAUGGGACCCCCAGAGAGCCCUGGAUCAGGGGCCCCCACCGCAGAACAGGCUGAGCCGAGUCGCAGGCAGGAAGUGGGGGUGACUAGCCCAACUUUGCAUCUGCAGACCAGCGCCUCCUGCUUAUGUAAGCACAGUGAUUGAAUCUGUGUUGGGAAGGGAGCUGUUCCAGGGUCUCUGUGGGUCAGGCUGCCCUGAUUAAACCCACGAUGGUAGCCACGCCCCCUGGCCCUGCCCGAGGGGUCCCAUCGCCCACUGAGUCCAGGAGCAUGUCCAGGGCAGCAGUCCCCAGCAUCAGUGCGAGUCACCACAGAGGGCUUCCUCGCCCACAUGUUCCUCACAGCCACAGAGCACCGCAUGUCGCUGGGGGAGGUGGGGAAGGGUGGCAAGCAGGUCCUGGGUGAUAGAUCCGUCCAGCACACACCUGGGCUCCCCAAGCCUUUGGGCACCUGCCCUUUCCAGGGACAAACAGUCUGGCCUCUCAGCCUCCUUCUGCAUCGGCCCCCUUGUCAACGAGCCACUCCCCAUCGCCAGGAAAUCCAGAAUCUCUGCCGAGUGGACCCAAGCCAGGCCUCGGGUCAAUGCAGUCUUAUAUCACCUCCAUCCCGGCCCCCAUAUCUGUUCCCUGGGUUUCUGUUGACAUAAAUGGUCACAUGUGGUGACUCCUGGGUCCCUCAUCUUCUAGGUCACAUCUAACCCUCAGGAUCUGGUCUUAGAUCUACAAGCAGAGACACGGUGGACUUGGCCGGAGGGGAGCCAGCAGCCCCUUGCAAGACAAGUACUUCAGGGGAGACUAUGCAGGUUCUUCAGUUGAGGGGGGACUGGCCCCCAGAUGGGAAGGAAGGAUGGCUUCUCUGGACAAAGGAGGUUCAGCAGAAUUUAGAGGGUUCAGGUCCCCAGCUUCAUCAGAGUCUGCCCACAUGUCCCCAUUCAAGUGAAAAAUGAAAAUAAAAUUACAUGUACUGCA